Molecule: ribosomal RNA, 569 nt
Filed under: uncultured fungus
Lineage: Eukaryota; Fungi
Description: eukaryotic LSU rRNA
Rfam family: 5.8S ribosomal RNA (bases 208-361)
Source: RNAcentral
UCGUAACAAGGUCUCCGUAGGUGAACCUGCGGAGGGAUCAUUACACAAAUAUGAAGGCGGGCUGGAACCUCUCGGGGUUACAGCCUUGCUGAAUUAUUCACCCUUGUCUUUUGCGUACUUCUUGUUUCCUUGGUGGGUUCGCCCACACUAGGACAAACAUAAACCUUUUGUAAUUGCAAUCAGCGUCAGUAACAAAUUAAUAAUUACAACUUUCAACAACGGAUCUCUUGGUUCUGGCAUCGAUGAAGAACGCAGCGAAAUGCGAUAAGUAGUGUGAAUUGCAGAAUUCAGUGAAUCAUCGAAUCUUUGAACGCACAUUGCGCCCUUUGGUAUUCCAAAGGGCAUGCCUGUUCGAGCGUCAUUUGUACCCUCAAGCUUUGCUUGGUGUUGGGCGUCUUGUCUCUAGCUUUGCUGGAGACUCGCCUUAAAGUAAUUGGCAGCCGGCCUACUGGUUUCGGAGCGCAGCACAAGUCGCACUCUCUAUCAGCAAAGGUCUAGCAUCCAUUAAGCCUUUUUUUCAACUUUUGACCUCGGAUCAGGUAGGGAUACCCGCUGAACUUAAGCAUAUC